AUUCAGAUGACGAGUCCCACACAGGACGAAACGCGCGUCAU
This 41-nucleotide non-coding RNA is filed under the name Schistosoma margrebowiei. Lineage: Eukaryota; Metazoa; Platyhelminthes; Trematoda; Strigeidida; Schistosomatidae. The record is from RNAcentral.